This 750-nucleotide ribosomal RNA is filed under the name uncultured Actinotalea sp. Its description in RNAcentral is "bacterial SSU rRNA". It matches the Rfam family "Bacterial small subunit ribosomal RNA", at positions 49 to 812 of the family's 1533-position model. Lineage: Bacteria; Bacillati; Actinomycetota; Actinomycetes; Micrococcales; Cellulomonadaceae. The record is from RNAcentral.
UUACACAUGCAGGUCGACGGUGACCUCGGAGCUUGCUCCGGGUGAUCAGUGGCGAACGGGUGAGUAACACGUGACCAACCUGCCCCCGACUCUGGGAUAACCCCGGGAAAUCGGAGCUAAUACCGGAUAUGAGGCGCACAGGCAUCUGGGCGUCUGGAAAGAAUUUCGGUCGGGGAUGGGGUCGCGGCCUAUCAGCUAGUUGGUGGGGUAAAGGCCUACCAAGGCGACGACGGGUAGCCGGCCUGAGAGGGCGACCGGCCACACUGGGACUGAGACACGGCCCAGACUCCUACGGGAGGCAGCAGUGGGGAAUAUUGCACAAUGGGCGCAAGCCUGAUGCAGCGACGCCGCGUGAGGGAUGACGGCCUUCGGGUUGUAAACCUCUUUCAGCAGGGAAGAAGCGCAAGUGACGGUACCUGCAGAAGAAGCGCCGGCUAACUACGUGCCAGCAGCCGCGGUAAUACGUAGGGCGCAAGCGUUGUCCGGAAUUAUUGGGCGUAAAGAGCUCGUAGGCGGUCUGUCGCGUCUGCUGUGAAAACCCGAGGCUCAACCUCGGGCCUGCAGUGGGUACGGGCAGACUAGAGUGCGGUAGGGGAGACUGGAAUUCCUGGUGUAGCGGUGGAAUGCGCAGAUAUCAGGAGGAACACCGAUGGCGAAGGCAGGUCUCUGGGCCGCAACUGACGCUGAGGAGCGAAAGCGUGGGGAGCGAACAGGAUUAGAUACCCUGGUAGUCCACGCCGUAAACGUUGG